AGAGUGCCUAACAAAUAGCUUUCUGAAUCACCUUGUUUUCUGCCACUGGCAAUCUCAGAAGGAGCUUGGGUCAAAGUACUGUGAGUCAGGGAUUUGUGGAGUCAUCAGCAUAUGUUUUAAAACAUUUCCUGUUUAGUCAAGUACUUAUCUUUGUCUUCAUACCACGUUCUUAGCAUCUCUUUUACUGGAUAUUAUUUUGGGGAGGCAACAGCAGCAGCAAAGACAUAGGCAGUAACAUGGAGCUCUGACCUCUGACAGCAAAACUCCCUUCUCAUUGUAGAGACGACAACUUUUCAAGUCUCAAAACCUUGUCCUCGCUCAUGAAAAACAUAAAAAACCUUAAUUAAGCUGCCCUAUCACGGGCAGCCCAGCUCUGUGCAGCCCCAGGUUAGAUAUGAAAACUCUUUCAGAUAUAUCCCUCCUGUCUGAACAUAAUGUCAUGGAAAAUGAAGUAUGACAGUCAAAUCUGUCGGUAACCAUGAGGAGAAUAGUAAGUCUUCUCCCCGCUCCCGACACGUCUGAUGUUCACAGCGGCGGUUGGCAGAGCUGCUUCAUUCGCUCAUUUCCUUUGCUGUGAGCCAACAUUCCCAGUAGCGUCAGGACAAUUUUAGAAGCAAAAUGCACUCAACUGAACUUCGUCUAUGAAGAGAUGAACAGGUGCUUAUAGCUGAGUUUUCAAGUCCAUAUAUUACCUUGAUGGCUUUUUUUUUUUUUUCUGUCUGAAAUGGAGCAAUUUUUGAAUAUGGGCAUUUAGCCAAUCCCCGAAUCUCAGGAAGCAGUCUCUCCAGAAUUUGUUCAUUCUGGGAAGAAAUGGAAAAGCAGAGAAGAAGAUAGGAGCACGUCUGCAGCACACGGAGAUCGUCUUUCUUCGGAUCCUGACAUGCAUCACAGGCAGACACGCAAUGAGCCCCAUGACGACCACCGGCUCCUGUCUUGCAGGGCUCGGUGCGCUACGUUCACAGCAGCUCUUUCGGGUACCUGCCACUACGUGUUAGUCAUCCUUUGCUAGAAGCCAACGUGCCACGGAACUGAAAACAUGCAAUUCAGUGCAGGGUGUGCUCUGACAGUUGUUUUUCCCUGUCGCUGCAUGAGUAUGCCCCCACCCGGACGUUUCGUGCUGAUGUUUCGUCGUGGAGACAUACUGACCUUUCAGAUGAUUUGUGCUUCACUGGAAGCAGGAGACUGGCCCCAAUUUAACAGAGAUAUUCAUGUGUUUAAAGCCAAGUCUAAAGAACCUUGCUGGGCCCUCCAGCACCCUCAGGGCAGUGUCCUCACCUCCGACGUGACCUCUGGGACGUGGGCUCGGCCCCAGGUCCGCUCCCAGCUGGGCACCUACUCUGCAAACAGCUUCAAAAGGACGUGGUAAUGGAAAAUGGGGAAUCCGGGAUUUGCAGCAGUGAUGUUCCUAUGGAGUAUUCAACAUUUUUUUACUGCAGAAUAUAAUGGGAGAAUCAGUCUUAUGUGAAAAUAGGUUUAGGUUGCAAUCUGGGCAGUUAUAUUUUUAACUCCGUUUAAUGAGGUUAAUGGCUUUUGCUCAGUUUAAAGACAGACAUCCUGUCAUCCUGGUUCCAGGUUCCUUUACACCCAUGAGUUUAUGGUGCUCUGUAUCACAUCUGCUGCUUUCUUCAGUACCAACAAAGCAAUCUAUACCCAUACAUCAUCAAAUAAUGUGUCCUUAUUUUAUUUACUGUACUCUAUGUGAAUUUCUACAGAAGAAAUGUAAGAAUGGGGAAAAAAGGCCUCCAGCUUUUUCCAGUGCACUAUGAUCCCCCCAAAACAGCUUGGAGAUGGGCCACAGGCCACUGUCUUGGAGGAAACUCAAGAGGUAAUCUUCCCAUGCCAAGAUUAGGCCUCAUACAGUCAUCCCUCUCUUUUCUCCUUCCCAGUAAUCCCUUCUCUCUGCAUAUUUACAUCAUCCAUCUAUUUAUUUUUGUAAGUUGUGGCUCUGAUUUCCCAUAAGCAUAAGUGAUGCUGACUGACCACUGCAGCCCAUCACUUGUAUUAAGGAUGACUCUGACUCCACCAUGGCCUCUCACUCUUAUUGCUGAGUAUUUUCUUUGCACACUUCAACAAACGUGAUCCCAAAUUAGAUUUUUCUACAGAUAAGUAGCUGGACACAUCAUCCAUACUCAGCGAUGGAAAGAGAUGUUUAGCUGGACAUAAUUACCUCAACUGUUGACCAUCCUGCCUGCUGAGAAGCCUUGUGCUACGUGACAUCCCUCCUUCUGCCGCGCAGGCAUUUUCAGAACAGCUGGGAGCUGCACCAUCCGCCUGCAUGCUGAUCUGUGACGAGUAAAUGUUGCUCAAACAGUUUUUGUCAGCGUUGAUUUACUUGCUUUGUUUGUUUGUUUGGGGUUUUAAUAAUAGUAUUAAAAGUCUUUGCUCCUGAUGUAUUUGACAUUGUGCCGUUGGUCCAUUAGGAUUUGUUUGAGUGCCGUGCAUUAUUUUUAAUUUGCAUUCACAGUAUGCUCUAUAAUAGCUCACCCUUGAUUUUAGCAAUGGAUGCUGUGCAUUUGUAUUAACAACAGCUCUAAUUUGUGCAAUGUGUAGCAAAAUUCUUU
Molecule: long non-coding RNA, 2561 nt
Organism: Cygnus olor (mute swan)
Lineage: Eukaryota; Metazoa; Chordata; Aves; Anseriformes; Anatidae
Exons: 3
Source: RefSeq, a predicted model, not a curated record